CCUACGGGGAGCAGCAGUGAGGAAUAUUGGUCAAUGGGCGCGAGCCUGAACCAGCCAAGUCGCGUAGGGAAGACGGUCCUAUGGAUUGUAAACCUCUUUUGUCGGGGAGCAAAAGACGCCACGCGUGGCGUUCCGAGAGUACCCGAAGAAAAAGCCUCGGCAAACUCCGUGCCAGCAGCCGCGGUAAUACGGAGGAUGCGAGCGUUAUCCGGAUUUAUUGGGUUUAAAGGGUGCGCAGGCGGAAGAUCAAGUCAGCGGUAAAAUUGAGGGGCUCAACCUCUUCGAGCCGUUGAAACUGGUUGUCUUGAGUGAGCGAGAAGUAUGCGGAAUGCGUGGUGUAGCGGUGAAAUGCAUAGAUAUCGCGCAGAACCCCGAUUGCGAAGGCAGCAUACCGGCGCUCAACUGACGCUCAUGCACGAAAGUGUGGGUAUCGAACAGGAUUAGAUACCCCAGUAGUC
This 458-nucleotide ribosomal RNA is filed under the name uncultured bacterium. RNAcentral's name for it is "partial 16S ribosomal RNA". It matches the Rfam family "Bacterial small subunit ribosomal RNA", at positions 338 to 795 of the family's 1533-position model. The record is from RNAcentral.